Molecule: ribosomal RNA, 468 nt
Filed under: uncultured bacterium
Lineage: Bacteria
Description: partial 16S ribosomal RNA
Rfam family: Bacterial small subunit ribosomal RNA
Source: RNAcentral
GACGAACGCUGGCGGCGUGCUUAACACAUGCAAGUCGAACGGAAAGGCCCUGCUUUUGUGGGGUGCUCGAGUGGCGAACGGGUGAGUAACACGUGAGUAACCUGCCCUUGACUUUGGGAUAACUUCAGGAAACUGGGGCUAAUACCGGAUAGGAGCUCCUGCUGCAUGGUGGGGGUUGGAAAGUUCCGGCGGUUGGGGAUGGACUCGCGGGUUAUCAGCUUGUUGGUGGGGUAGUGGCUUACAAAGGGUUUGACGGGUAGCCGGCCUGAGAGGGUGAACGGCCACAUUGGGACUGAGGUACGGCCCAGACUCCUACGGGAGGCAGCAGUGGGGAAUAUUGCACAAUGGGCGGAAGCCUGAUGCAGCAACGCCGCGUGCGGGAUGACGGCCUUCGGGUUGUAAACCGCUUUCGCCUGUGACGAAGCGUGAGUGACGGUAAUGGGUAAAGAAGCACCGGCUAACUACGUG